AUUGAACGCUGGCGGCAUGCUUUACACAUGCAAGUCGAACGGUAACAGGGUGCUUGCACCGCUGACGAGUGGCGAACGGGUGAGUAAUGCGUCGGAACGCACCGAGUAAUGGGGGAUAACGCAGCGAAAGCUGUGCUAAUACCGCAUACGCUCUGAGGAGGAAAGCGGGGGACCUUCGGGCCUCGCGUUAUUCGAGCGGCCGACGUCUGAUUUGCUAGUAGGUGAGGUAAGAGCUCACCUAGGCGAUGAUCAGUAGCGGGUCUGAGAGGAUGAUGCGCCAAACUGGGAAUAAGAAACGGCACGGACGCCUACGGGAGGCAGCAGUGGGGAAUUUUGGACAAUGGGCGCAAGCCUGAUCCAGCCAUGCCGCGUGUCUGAAGAAGGCCUUCGGGUUGUAAAGGACUUUUGUCAGGGAGGAAAUCCUUAGCGCUAAUACCGUUGAGGGAUGACAGUACCUGAAGAAUAAGCACCGGCUAACUACGUGCCAGCAGCCGCGGUAA
RNAcentral lists this ribosomal RNA (500 nucleotides) under uncultured bacterium. RNAcentral's name for it is "partial 16S ribosomal RNA". It matches the Rfam family "Bacterial small subunit ribosomal RNA", at positions 30 to 523 of the family's 1533-position model. The record is from RNAcentral.